UUCGGAUUGUAGGCUGCAACUCGCCUACAUGAAGUCGGAGUUGCUAGUAAUCGCGGAUCAGAAUGCCGCGGUGAAUGCGUUCCCGGGUCUUGUACACACCGCCCGUCACACCAUGGAAGUUGGGGGCGCCCGAAGUUGCCUAAGAAAUAAGGUACCUAAGGCGAAACCAAUGACUGGGGUGAAGUCGUAACAAGGUAGC
This 199-nucleotide ribosomal RNA is filed under the name uncultured bacterium. RNAcentral describes it as "partial 16S ribosomal RNA". It matches the Rfam family "Bacterial small subunit ribosomal RNA", at positions 1292 to 1500 of the family's 1533-position model. The record is from RNAcentral.